UCAAGUGCGUCGCAGCCUUGGCCGUCGCCCCGGUUUCCUGUGUUGCGUACCUACGCGAUGGCAUUCGUUUGUCCCAACGUCCCUCGUUCGUUUAGCGGUCCGCUUACCGGCGGGUCACGAGACGAAACUCGCAGCAUGGCCCGUUACCCGCGUCGCGCGUAUGCCGUCGCGGUGCACGGGGCAUCGCUCGAGCUCUCGGAUAMGGAAAGCWCCGAGGGCAUUGAGGUCCCGCGGCCUCUUAUCAUUGCCCGAUCAUGCAUUAGACACCAACGAUGCACGACCGUCGCUCCCGUCUCGGCCCGGCCGUACGGUGACUAAUCUUUCAGGAUGCUACCUGCUUGAUCC
RNAcentral lists this unclassified non-coding RNA (345 nucleotides) under Hoya mariae. Its description in RNAcentral is "partial external transcribed spacer". The record is from RNAcentral. Lineage: Eukaryota; Viridiplantae; Streptophyta; Magnoliopsida; Gentianales; Apocynaceae.